GAUGAACGCUGGCGGCGUGCCUAAUACAUGCAAGUCGAGCGAACAGACGAUGAGCUUGCUCCUCUGACGUUAGCGGCGGACGGGUGAGUAACACGUGGAUAACCUACCUAUAAGACUGGGAUAACGUCGGGAAACCGGAGCUAAUACCGGAUAAUAUAUUGAACCGCAUGGUUCAAUAGUUAAAGACGGUUUUGCUGUCACUUAUAGAUGUAUCCGCGCCGCAUUAGCUAGCUGGUAAGGUAACGGCUUACCAAGGCAACGAUGCGUAGCCGACCUGAGAGGGUGAUCGGCCACACUGGAACUGAGACACGGUCCAGACUCCUACGGGAGGCAGCAGUAGGGAAUCUUCCGCAAUGGGCGAAAGCUUGACGGAGCAACGCAGCGUGAGUGAUGAAGGUCUUCGGAUCGUAAAACUCUGUUAUUAGGGAAGAACAAAUGUGUAAGUAACUAUGCACGUCUUGACGGUACCUAAUCAGAAAGCCACGGCUAACUACGUG
This 497-nucleotide ribosomal RNA is filed under the name uncultured bacterium. RNAcentral's name for it is "partial 16S ribosomal RNA". It matches the Rfam family "Bacterial small subunit ribosomal RNA", at positions 28 to 507 of the family's 1533-position model. The record is from RNAcentral.